GGUUAAGCGACUAAGCGUACACGGUGGAUGCCCUGGCAGUCAGAGGCGAUGAAGGACGUGCUAAUCUGCGAUAAGCGUCGGUAAGGUGAUAUGAACCGUUAUAACCGGCGAUUUCCGAAUGGGGAAACCCAGUGUGUUUCGACACACUAUCAUUAACUGAAUCCAUAGGUUAAUGAGGCGAACCGGGGGAACUGAAACAUCUAAGUACCCCGA
This 213-nucleotide ribosomal RNA is filed under the name Pseudomonas aeruginosa. RNAcentral's name for it is "partial 23S ribosomal RNA". It matches the Rfam family "Bacterial large subunit ribosomal RNA", at positions 1 to 214 of the family's 2925-position model. RNAcentral also lists the same sequence under 2 other names. The record is from RNAcentral. Lineage: Bacteria; Pseudomonadati; Pseudomonadota; Gammaproteobacteria; Pseudomonadales; Pseudomonadaceae.